GAUGAACGCUGGCGGCGUGCCUAAUACAUGCAAGUCGAGCGGCAGCAUUACCUUCGGGUAGAUGGCGAGCGGCGGACGGGUGAGUAACGCGUAAGAAUGUACCCUAAAGUGAGGGAUAAGCCAUCGAAAGAUGGUCUAAUACCGCAUAUGAUCUACGGAUUAAAGCAGCAAUGUGCUUUGGGAACAGCUUGCGUCUGAUUAGCUAGUUGGUAAGGUAAUGGCUUACCAAGGCGACGAUCAGUAACUGGUCUGAGAGGAUGACCAGUCACACUGGGACUGAGACACGGCCCAGACUCCUACGGGAGGCAGCAGUGGGGAAUAUUGGACAAUGGGGGCAACCCUGAUCCAGCAAUGCCGCGUGUGUGAAGAAGGCCUGCGGGUUGUAAAGCACUUUUAGUGAUGAGGAAGGUAAUUGUGUGAAUAGCAUGAUUAUUUGACGUUAGUCACAGAAAAAGCACCGGCUAACUCUGUGCCAGCAGCCGCCGUAA
This 488-nucleotide ribosomal RNA is filed under the name uncultured bacterium. Its description in RNAcentral is "partial 16S ribosomal RNA". It matches the Rfam family "Bacterial small subunit ribosomal RNA", at positions 28 to 523 of the family's 1533-position model. The record is from RNAcentral.